AUUGCACGCUGGCGGCAGUCCUAACACAUGCACGUCGAACGAGUGGCUGACGGGUGAGUACUGUCUGGGAAAAUGCCUGAUGGAGGGGGAUAACUACUGGAAACGGUCGCUAAUACCGCAUACCAUCGGAUGUGCCCAGAUGGGAUUAGCUAGUAGGUGGGGUAAAUGCUAACCUAGGCGACGAUCCCUAGCUGGUCUUAUAGGAUGACCAGCCACACUGGAACUGAGACACGGUACAGACUCCUACGGGAGGUAGCAGUGGGGAAUAUUGCACAAUGGGCGCAAGCCUGAUGCAGCCAUGCCGCGUGUAUGAAGAAGGCCUUCGGGUUGUAAAGUACUUUCAGCGGGGAGGCGUUACCAGCAGAAGAAGCACCGGCUAACUCCGUGCCAGCAGCCGCGGUAAUUC
RNAcentral lists this ribosomal RNA (406 nucleotides) under uncultured bacterium. RNAcentral describes it as "partial 16S ribosomal RNA". It matches the Rfam family "Bacterial small subunit ribosomal RNA", at positions 30 to 526 of the family's 1533-position model. The record is from RNAcentral.